AGGCAGCAGUGAGGAAUAUUGGGCAAUGCCCGCAAGGGUGACCCAGCAACGCCGCGUGGAGGAUGAAUGCCGUAAGGUUGUAAACUCCUGUUAGAGGGGAAGAAAAAUCUCGAUCAAAUCGAGAACUGACUGUACCCUCAGAGAAAGCCCCGGCUAACUACGUGCCAGCAGCCGCGGUAAU
This 181-nucleotide ribosomal RNA is filed under the name uncultured bacterium. Its description in RNAcentral is "partial 16S ribosomal RNA". It matches the Rfam family "Bacterial small subunit ribosomal RNA", at positions 346 to 524 of the family's 1533-position model. The record is from RNAcentral.